This is a long non-coding RNA of Cuculus canorus (common cuckoo), 620 nucleotides long. RefSeq lists it as uncharacterized. The record is from RefSeq and is a predicted model, not a curated record. The transcript has 3 exons. Lineage: Eukaryota; Metazoa; Chordata; Aves; Cuculiformes; Cuculidae.
UACACAGAAAUGCGAUGCCAUCAACACCGUAUCACAGGCAGCAUGAGGGGCUUUGAACAACAAGCCCUGCUGUAAAGCAGUUCUGCUGAGCAUGGCAAAUCUCUAAAUUUGGCCAAGUGGUGGCGUAACAUGCUUGGUUACCUGUAGGAUCCAGAUAUCGUAACCAAUCUAUAUGAUGAAGAGCUGAGGAGCUGAAGUGAUAGUUCUUAGCUUCAUGUUAUUAGCCAGGCAAAUGAAAGAAGCUACCUAUAAAGCAUCAAGGAUGAUCUUGCGUCCUUCAAACGAUGGAUGAAGUGAAGAGAAUUUGUCCCCUUUAUCCUUCCUCCUUCGCCAAACAAGUGCUGCAAGAUUCAGGCCAAUCCAGCAGAAGGAUGGAAACAGACUGGGAUCCACCUUCAUAAAGGUCUCCUGGGGACACAAAGCACUGGUGAGCACGGGCAGAAUGUGGUGAGCUUCUUAUCAUAGAAUCAUAGAAGAGCCUGUGGAGUAAGGCGGAUCAAUUUACUGUACAUCUGGGCUGAUUUAUGCCAUCAGCCAAAAGGGCUGUGUGCUGAGCCUGCCAGCAAGCAUCAAAUCUUCCCAGCCCUCUCCUUGCCCUGGGGCAUCGUGCUACUGGCCUG